AAUAUUGGACAAUGGGUGGAACCCUGAUCCAGCCAUGCCGCGUGUGUGAAGAAGGUCUUCGGAUUGUAAAGCACCUUCAUUUGGGAGGAAGAGUUGUAGGCUAAUACCUUGCAAUUUUGACUUUACCAACAGAAUAAGCACCGGCUAAUUUCGUGCCAGCAGCCGCGGUAAUACGAAGGGUGCAAGCGUUAAUCGGAAUUAUUGGGCGUAAGGCGGGCGUAGGUGGUUCGUUAAGUUGGAAGUGAAAGCCCCGGGCUUAACCUGGGAAUUGCUUUCAAAACUGACGAGCUAGAGUACGGUAGAGGGUAGUGGAAUUUCCUGUGUAGCGGUGAAAUGCGUAGAUAUAGGAAGGAACAUCAGUGGCGAAGGCGACUACCUGGACUGAUACUGACACUGAGGUGCGAAAGCGUGGGGAGCAAACA
RNAcentral lists this ribosomal RNA (422 nucleotides) under uncultured bacterium. RNAcentral describes it as "partial 16S ribosomal RNA". It matches the Rfam family "Bacterial small subunit ribosomal RNA", at positions 360 to 774 of the family's 1533-position model. The record is from RNAcentral.